RNAcentral lists this ribosomal RNA (314 nucleotides) under uncultured bacterium. RNAcentral describes it as "bacterial SSU rRNA". It matches the Rfam family "Bacterial small subunit ribosomal RNA", at positions 28 to 334 of the family's 1533-position model. The record is from RNAcentral.
GAUAAACGCUGGCGGCGCACAUAAGACAUGCAAGUCGAACGGACUUAACCAUUAGUUUACUAUUGGAGCGGUUAGUGGCGGACUGGUGAGUAACACGUAAGCAACCUGCCUAUCAGAGGGGAACAACAGUUAGAAAUGACUGCUAAUACCGCAUAUGCCUAAGUACCACAUGGUACAAUAGGGAAAGGAGAAAUCCGCUGAUAGAUGGGCUUGCGUCUGAUUAGCUAGUUGGUGGGGUAAAGGCCUACCAAGGCGACGAUCAGUAGCCGGACUGAGAGGUUGAACGGCCACAUUGGGACUGAGAUACGGCCCAG